Molecule: ribosomal RNA, 292 nt
Filed under: uncultured bacterium
Lineage: Bacteria
Description: partial 16S ribosomal RNA
Rfam family: Bacterial small subunit ribosomal RNA
Source: RNAcentral
GUGCCAGCCGCCGCGGUAAUACGGAGGGUGCAAGCGUUGUCCGGAAUCACUGGGCGUAAAGGGUGUGCAGGCGGGGCAGCAAGUCGGAUGUGAAACCCUAUGGCUUAACCAUGGAGGUGCAUUCGAAACUGUUGCUCUUGGGUCCCGGAGAGGCUGUCGGAAUUCGUGGUGUAGCGGUGAAAUGCGUAGAUAUCACGAGGAACACCAGAGGCGAAAGCGGGCAACUGGACGGGUACUGACACUGAGGCACGAAAGCGUGGGGAGCAAACAGGAUUAGAAACCCGGGUAGUCC